GGCUGGUCCGAGUGCAGUGGUGUUUACAACUAAUUGAUCACAACCAGUUACAGAUUUCUUUGUUCCUUCUCCACUCCCACUGCUUCACUUGACUAGAAAA
This 100-nucleotide Y RNA is filed under the name Aotus nancymaae (Ma's night monkey). RNAcentral's name for it is "Y RNA (ENSANAG00000006383.1)". It matches the Rfam family "Y RNA". Rfam says of the family: Y RNAs are components of the Ro ribonucleoprotein particle (Ro RNP), in association with Ro60 and La proteins. The Y RNAs and Ro60 and La proteins are well conserved, but the function of the Ro RNP is not known. Lineage: Eukaryota; Metazoa; Chordata; Mammalia; Primates; Aotidae. The record is from Rfam by way of RNAcentral.